ACGAAGGACUAUAACAACGCGUCUUUUUUUUAAAUGAGCGAAUACUUUUCGAUAGUUUGACUCGGGAUACGGACUAAAUUCGCUUCGGUUUACAAAAUUGACGGGUUUUUAUGCUCGCAAAGCGACGUGUCGAGCUUCUUGUCCAAAUCAUUGAAGAAGAACGCGGCGCCAAAACAAACGUAUACUCGAAAAUUCUCAAGAAUUAUUCGGUUAUUGUUUUACGAAAUUCUAACAAUUUUAACUCGUUUGCAAAUGCUUGUAAGGGUCUAUCGCUUCGGGAGUUUCUUGCAUCGAAUUUUUCGACUAAAAGCAUUCUCAAGGUUGUAUAAAGAAAGCAAUAAACCGGUACCUGUUCAAAAGGCGCCAACGUGUACAUGCAUGUAAAGUCCUCACGACGUCAGUUGCGUCCUUUCUCGACCGCGCAGGCAGUGGUGCCCACUCAUUGAACGAAUCCCAAUUUAUCAAGACGAACAUAAAGAUGAAAGAGAAUUUUUUACCAGUUUAAAAGUCACUGUAUAUUGUCUGUAUUGAUCAUAACAUGCUAAUGAAAAACAUUCCUUCCAGCAUUCGAACCAUCCCAUAAACAGACACGAGAACACCAAAUUCUCCCUCGAAACCCAACAAAAAAGUGGGUACCGAAAAUCGGAAAGACAUACCUCGAGGUCGUGGGUGUGAUGUAAGAUGUCUCUACUCCAAGACUGGCCAGUCCUGAUUGUUAUUGGUUUGUCCAGAUUAUUUAUCGCAAUCAUUGUGUCCGA
Dendronephthya gigantea is the source of this 758-nucleotide long non-coding RNA. RefSeq lists it as uncharacterized. The record is from RefSeq and is a predicted model, not a curated record. NCBI's taxonomy places the organism in Eukaryota, Metazoa, Cnidaria, Anthozoa, Malacalcyonacea, Nephtheidae. The transcript is spliced from 5 exons.